UAAAUAUCCAUACUUUGUUAACAUGUUCAUAGUUUUGUAAAUACUCGUAAAUUUGUAAAUAAUUGUGCUUUCAACCCUAGUUUAAAUAUAAAUAUCUUAAUAUGUAAAUGUAAUCCCUUUCCCCCUAUCCUUCGAUACCAGUUACCCUUAAUAUAACCAAUGAAUUAAUUAAAAAAAAAAUGAAUUUGUAAAUAAAAAUAAAUUAAAUAUUUGAAUUCAAAUCCCCGUCCUAUAAAACCCUACAUCAUCAUUCCUUCCUUAUGCACUGCAUCAUGGCGCCUUGUACCAACUGUGCGGAAACAAAUCCCUCCCGGGAAAUGUUCCACCCAUGGGUUAUGCUGCAUCAUCCUAAGCGAUAUAAAAAGGAUAUGCAGGCCAAGGCAAAGGAUCUUUUUGGAACUAAAUUCCUAACCGUGUCUCGUGAGUGCAACCGCCGAUCUCUCAUACCAGUGCCGAAAUAGGGGAGUCAUCAUCCAAGUGCGGAAUAAGCAGAACGAAGGCGUCCAGAUCCGGCUUCAGGUGGCCCAGACACGAAGUGACCGACAUCAGAAGACACAGAGGUCGGGUAAGCCCGCAAAACGUUGGAAUCAAGUGAAACUAAAUGUGCACAUCCUUUACUAUCCUAUGAAUUCCCCUCCAAAAUAUAUAAAUUUAUUGUUUAAAAUGUGAAUUUCCAA
Long non-coding RNA from Aedes aegypti (yellow fever mosquito), 677 nucleotides. RefSeq lists it as uncharacterized. The record is from RefSeq and is a predicted model, not a curated record. The transcript is spliced from 2 exons. Lineage: Eukaryota; Metazoa; Arthropoda; Insecta; Diptera; Culicidae.